CCUACGGGACGCAGCAGUGGGGAAUAUUGGGCAAUGGGCGCAAGCCUGACCCAGCAACGCCGCGUGAAGGAAGAAGGCUUUCGGGUUGUAAACUUCCUUUAUGAGGGACGAAACAAAUGACGGUACCUCAUGAAUAAGCCACGGCUAACUACGUGCCAGCAGCCGCGGUAAUACGUAGGUGGCAAGCGUUAUCCGGAUUUACUGGGUGUAAAGGGCGUGUAGGCGGGACUGCAAGUCAGAUGUGAAAAUUAUGGGCUCAACCCAUAACCUGCAUUUGAAACUGUAGCUCUUGAGUGAUGGAGAGG
This 305-nucleotide ribosomal RNA is filed under the name uncultured bacterium. RNAcentral describes it as "bacterial SSU rRNA". It matches the Rfam family "Bacterial small subunit ribosomal RNA", at positions 338 to 657 of the family's 1533-position model. The record is from RNAcentral.